This 309-nucleotide long non-coding RNA is filed under the name Hordeum vulgare. Its description in RNAcentral is "long non-coding RNA (HVUL_LNC005480)". Lineage: Eukaryota; Viridiplantae; Streptophyta; Magnoliopsida; Poales; Poaceae. The record is from RNAcentral.
CUAUAUACGAAGCAAAAUGAUUGAAUGUACAUUUUAAAGUAUGUCUAUAUACAUUCGUAUGUAGUCCACUAGUGAAAUCUGUACAAAGAUUUAUAUUUAUGAACGGAGGGAGUAUAUACAAUUGCGUUAAUCUUGAAAGAAUAAUAAUAAGAAAAAUAAAACAGAGAGAAAACUACGCGUGCAUGCUCUGGCCUAUAAAGCGAGCGACGUCUUCGCAGAGGAUAACCGCUGUAGCUUCGGUUCUCAACUCCUGUCUUCUCUUUCCAGUCUUUGCCAAGACAUUUGUACAUGCAUAUUCCUCCUUUGAAA